ACAUUUUUAAAACUUUACAGAAAUACAUAUAACUUUAAAAACUACUGGUACUUCAACUUGGAUUGAUUUAUUAUAUUGAUAUGAGUCAAACGUUGUUUAAAAAAUGUUACAAGAUUCAAAUGCAGUGUAUUGAAUUAUGAUAAUCAUUUUGUAAGUUAAGGAAAAUGAUUUCACGCUUCUAAAUUACCGGUAAUCAUCUUGCAUCAGUUUUAAAACAACUUUUAUUUUUACACAAAAAAGAGUAAAAGUGAACUCAACAAUAUUUUGAACAAAGGAAUUCAUUUCAUUUGCUUACAAGUGGGCAUGCUCUGGGGAUUAAAGGACACAUCUCAUGUUUUCAAAGUAUACAGAAUUAUAUGCAUUUUGCCAUCCUUAUGCUUAUAGAAAUUAAUUGUAAUAGUUCGUUCGCCGAAGUAUUGCGAUAAUUAGCCACAAUACGGACUUAAAUCUAAGCCCCGAUUUCAAAAAGCCUAUAGUUAAUUAGAUAGUCAAGUGGUACAGUGACGUCAUAUGCGACCUUCGUCGAUCAGCUUGUUGUAAAAGUAGUGUUAGAUAUUUUUAAAAAUCGGGUUUUAGGGGCCUAAUUUAUUUACCAUGGAUAACAUUUAUUUCGAUGUUGACAAAUAUCUCGAGUCUUAUAUCUUUUAGCCACCAGUGCAUACAAAUAGCGACCCAAAUGUAGCGAGGAAAGCGAUUACGAAAUCUGCAUUUGCGAGUAAAUAAUGUUUACAUGGGAUCGCUGUCUAAACACUAUUUGGUAAUGCUAUUUCUUUAAACAACUGUAAUUAGCGUUGUUGCUUUUCUAAAAUAAACAGUGCAAUCAUUAUUGAAUUUAUUUUUGGAUAAGUUAGAUAGGUCUAAAUUAUGAUACGAUGUAUCAUUGACAACUAGGCCUACUGCCACGGGUGCAUUUCGAAGAAAAGAAAAAAUAAAUAAAAUGAUCAAAUUUAUAGUGAAAAUCACAUUACUUUUAAAUUAUUUUAUUCAAGCAAUUUUAUUAAUCAUUAUUAUUUUUAAUCUACACGUUGUUACUUAGGAAGGGGGCGCGGCGUACUGUUGUUGUUACAUACGCGUUCCUUAAGAAAUUGAAAGCAUUAUAGUUCAAUUCAAAGUUAGGAAAUACAAUAUUUUAUUAUUUAUAAUUCCAAUUCCAAUUAUCUGUUAUCUUUAUUUUUCUUUUUUAAAGCCACCAGCUGUUAGAAACUGCGAACACAAGUUCUGCCUAUAUGUUGUUACAAGGUGAAUGUCAGUUGGUGCGAGCGAGUAUUGAAUUUGAGAACAGAAUGGAAUGCAUAUGCCAUAGACCUACAUGUAACAGUGCUUAGCUCGAUAAAACCAUUUUCUCGCAGUUUAUUUACUAGUCCAAGUGGUUUUUGAAAAAGUACAGGGGCAAAUUCUACUGGGGUUUUUUAUGGCAAAGUCGUUGUACCGACAAAAAAUAUCCACUUCUUUUCCCUCAUACCUUCCUUCGAAAAUUGAAAAAAAAAACACAGUCUAAACCCUCUCUACUGACAGCAAGUACAUCCUUAAACGGCACAAAACACCCUAAUGCAGUGUUAUUUACAAGCCGUUAAGGAUAUAACUGGGUUUUUUUUUGUCAAUUAAAUCUAAUCUGUUUAUGAAAUGGCUAACAACUGUUUUCAAAACUUCUCGCUCGAGGUCGCAUAUUACGUCACAGAUAAUGGCGCGUAAAAUAUCGAAGAAAAUAUGCAUAUCGCAAGCAUAUAAAGUAGUUUUAGGCAUGAAACGAAUUAAGUUUGCUGAAAAAAUUAAAAAGUUUAGAAACAUGCGAUGUGUCCUUUCAAUGUGUUUACCGAGAGUUAAUGGAAUAACACAGCGGGAUGCUAUGGCCAAGACUCAUACAGCCGAUCCUAGUUAUGCAAUUUUCUCGCUAUUUGAUAUGCUGUGUAGGUCAAAGUUUUGGAAAACCUAAUUAACCAUUCUUGUAAGACAAAGUCUGAGAGCUGGUGUACAGUCGGUUAAUUUAUUUUCACGAUUGAUACCCUGGAACAGGAUAUUACUGCCAUCAAGAGCCACCUCAUUUCUUAUGUGGAUGUAAAAUUUGACACUACAUUGAAAGUCUGUUACCAUCACGGAACAGGCUGAACACGGCGGGGAAGUAGAAGACUUCCAGGGCUCCUUAGAUGUGUAAAGAAGAAACUGAUAAAUGUCAUGGCCUCUCUACAGGUUGGAGAUAAUGCAGGAGAGAUUAACAGAACAAUAUUGAGAUGUGUUAUGAUCAACAUUUGCAUGAGCCAGUUUAAUGGAACUGGACAGAAAUGAAAAAUUGUCUUUAUUGGAACACCAAAUCAAAACCAAAACUUUCUGCUGCACUCAAAGCAUCGAAGAAAACUAUCUCGUUUGAGACAAUUAAACGAGAAGUGUUUAGACGUUUCUCGGGUUCGCUCCAUACUUUCCCGGAGGAACUAAUCAUGCUAAGAAAAAAAAAGGGAAAGAAGUCAAAUCAAAAAGAAGAUGAAUCUCCAUCAGAUUCGGAAUAAUAUGGACUGAUUUUUCAAAAAUGUAAUAUUUUAUCUGUAAAGAAAACUGUUGUUUAUUUUAUUUUAUUACGGUUCAGGUUUUUAAACAUAUUCACAGUUUAUAUGAAACAUUAGUGAAAGGGUUUAAAAACCUUAACGAUCUUUAAAAAUCUUCUUUACUCAUAGUCCCGUAGGGAACCCAUGUGCCUCUCCUAAAAUUGUGAAAUACAUGAUAUGUAUGGUGCAUAUGCUGAAAGUAAAUUGUUUCUUUUAAAAUUUUCUUCUAAAACAGUCUUUUUUACUCGGGGAUAAUAUUACGGUAACAGGCAAUAUAUGUGUAUAAGCAUGAUAAGCAAGUAUCUUUAAUUAAGAAAUAUUACCCGUGGGGAUCCGGUUUAGAAUAGGUCCUCAUUACACCUUGCUUGCUGUAAGAGGCGACUAAAUGGGAUGGUCCUUCGGAUGAUAACGCAUAAACCGAGGCGGUGUGGCACGAUAAAGAUCCCUCCCUGCUCAAAGGCCGUAAACGCCGAGCACAGGCCUAAAUUUUGCAACUCUUCACCGGUCUUGGUGACGUCUCCAUAUGAGUGAAAAACUCGAGAGAGGAAUGUUUACUUCAGUGCAUGCAUUCAAUCAUGCCAAAUAUACGUAUAUUUUAUAUGAAGAAUGUGAAAACUCCAUGGCCUCUGAGGAAAAUACAGUACAUGAGUUAAAUAUUUUCAAAAUGAUCUUUAAUCUUGAACAUUUAGAAAAACCCGAAUCUGUAAAAUUUUCUUUUAAAAAAAUUGACACCCCGUUUGAAUGAGCUGCCAAUGAAGGCAGGUUGCAUGUUAUUCAGGCGACCGCCAAUGCCCAUUGACCUUUUGUUUCCUCUAGGGUCAAGAAGUCACGGCCGUCUCGAGUCAUUACACAAUGUCCAGAAAUGGUGUGAUAAAUUUUUUGUAUUUCAGAUAUUUUGAUUGCCAAUAUUUGAAAGAACUUUGUAGAUUCUGCAAGAUCAAUUCAGUUCACUUUAAUGAGGUACACAGUGAUAUUUUAGAGAACAGACAGUACUAUUGAUUUAUGUAGCUUUUUUAAAAGAUAGCUGCCUACAUGUAUAUGCAAAUACGCAACUGCGUCCGCAUCAUUUACAAGAGAGAGAGAGAGAGAGAGAGAGAGAGAGAGAGAGAGAGAGAGAUAUUUGUCGUUAAAAUAUCUGCCUAAAAUAACUGCUAUUUAUUAUUUAAUCGGCAUCAUAUAUCCCAGUCGAAAACUGCUAAAGAAAUUCGCAGAAUGAAUGUAAACUCAGUCUUAGUUCACACGGUUGGCAUAAUAAAACACAUUAGAAAAUAA
This is a long non-coding RNA of Ostrea edulis (European flat oyster), 3809 nucleotides long. RefSeq lists it as uncharacterized. The record is from RefSeq and is a predicted model, not a curated record. NCBI's taxonomy places the organism in Eukaryota, Metazoa, Mollusca, Bivalvia, Ostreida, Ostreidae. The transcript has 5 exons.